RNAcentral lists this ribosomal RNA (913 nucleotides) under uncultured Bacteroidota bacterium. RNAcentral describes it as "bacterial SSU rRNA". It matches the Rfam family "Bacterial small subunit ribosomal RNA", at positions 8 to 916 of the family's 1533-position model. The record is from RNAcentral. Lineage: Bacteria; Pseudomonadati; Bacteroidota.
AGAGUUUGAUCCUGGCUCAGGAUGAACGCUAGCGGGAGGCUUAACACAUGCAAGUCGAGGGGCAGCACGAGGUAGCAAUACUUUGGUGGCGACCGGCAGACGGGUGAGUAACGCGUAUGUAACCUACCCUGUACUGGGGGAUAACCCGGAGAAAUUCGGACUAAUACCCCAUAGAAAUAUAGAGAGGCAUCUUGAAAUAUUUAAAGUUUCGACGGUACGGGAUGGGCAUGCGUAACAUUAGCUAGUUGGUAAGGUAACGGCUUACCAAGGCUUUGAUGUUUAGGGGUCCUGAGAGGGUGAUCCCCCACACUGGUACUGAGACACGGACCAGACUCCUACGGGAGGCAGCAGUGAGGAAUAUUGGUCAAUGGGCGAAAGCCUGAACCAGCCAUCCCGCGUGCAGGAAGACGGCCCUAUGGGUUGUAAACUGCUUUUCCAGGAGGAGAAACUCUCGUACGUGAUACGGGAUUGACGGUACCCUGGGAAUAAGCAUCGGCUAACUCCGUGCCAGCAGCCGCGGUAAUACGGAGGAUGCGAGCGUUAUCCGGAUUCAUUGGGUUUAAAGGGUGCGUAGGCGGACUAUUAAGUCAGUGGUGAAAUCCUGCAGCUUAACUGCAGAACUGCCGUUGAUACUGAUAGUCUUGAGUUUGGUUAAGGUAGGCGGAAUGUGUAAUGUAGCGGUGAAAUGCUUAGAUAUUACACAGAACACCGAUUGCGUAGGCAGCUUACUGAGCCGACACUGACGCUGAGGCACGAAAGCGUGGGGAUCGAACAGGAUUAGAUACCCUGGUAGUCCACGCCGUAAACGAUGAUUACUCGCUGUUGGCGAUACACUGUCAGCGGCUAAGCAAAAGCAAUAAGUAAUCCACCUGGGGAGUACGGCCGCAAGGCUGAAACUCAAAGGAAUUGACGG